UCCAUUUCUCACGCAUUCGCGACUGCUAUUCUUCUUCUUCUUCAGCCCCUGCGCCAUUGUUCUUCUUCUUGCGUUGCCGUGUUCGUUGUGCUUUGGAGGUUCUUCUCGUCCGUGUUUUGACGGCAUUGGGGACGUGCAUUGGGCUGCUCCACCGUCGAGGCUUACGGAUGAAAUAAGCAGCAUACGGAUUUUAGGCUUACGGAUGAAAUAAGCAGCAUAUGGAUCAACUUGAUCAGUAACGUGCAUAAAUGGCUGAAGCUGAUGCUGCAGUUGAAGCUCGUAAGAAGCCUUCUGUGGAAGCAGGUCCUCGAGUUGCUGCUGAAGGGCUUGUAAUCAAUGAAUGGAAAGAGAGAAGGGAAAAGUACUUGGCCCGGCAACAAGUUCAAGCAGUAGAUUCAGUGUAAAACACAAUUUGUUCUUCCAGCUAAUUCUUUUCUUCCGGGAAACACAAUCAUUGCUAUGCUACUGUUGCCGUCAACCUUGGAUGCGCUUCAAAAGAAUUGUUGGGGGAAUUGGUUGGUACCCAAUUGGUAGUUUGAGAACGCAAUCUGAUGGAAAGAUUCGUCGUAUAAUUUGUCAAAAUUCUUGUUCUUUGGAGGAACAGUCCGAUUUGUACAUAGUAAAGUUUGCUUGUUUGUAAAAUAAAUGUAAUUCCUCACUGCCUUCUGCCUGUGAAAUAAUCUUGAAAUAACAGGUUAUUCAUGAUAAGAUCAUUUUUUUUUUGUGCAUC
Molecule: long non-coding RNA, 730 nt
Organism: Glycine soja
Lineage: Eukaryota; Viridiplantae; Streptophyta; Magnoliopsida; Fabales; Fabaceae
Exons: 3
Source: RefSeq, a predicted model, not a curated record